GCUAAACGCGAAGAACCUUACCAGGCCUUGACAUGCAGAGAACUUUUCCAGAGAUGGAUUGGUGCCUUCGGGAACGUCUGACACAGGUGCUGCAUGGCUGUCGUCAGCUCGUGUCGUGAGAUGUUGGGUUAAGUCCCGUAACGAGCGCAACCCUUGUCCUUAGUUACCAGCACGUUAUGGUGGGCACUCUAAGGAGACUGCCGGUGACAAACCGGAGGAAGGUGGGGAUGGACGUCAAGUCAUCAUGGCCCUUACGGCCUGGGCUACACACGUGCUACAAUGGUCGGUACAGAGGGUUGCCAAGCCGCGAGGUGGAGCUAAUCUCACAAAACCGAUCGUAGUCCGGAUCGCAGUCUGCAACUCGACUGCGUGAAGUCGGAAUCGCUAGUAAUCGCGAAUCAGAAUGUCGCGGUGAAUACG
This 420-nucleotide ribosomal RNA is filed under the name uncultured bacterium. Its description in RNAcentral is "bacterial SSU rRNA". It matches the Rfam family "Bacterial small subunit ribosomal RNA", at positions 954 to 1370 of the family's 1533-position model. The record is from RNAcentral.